This 449-nucleotide ribosomal RNA is filed under the name uncultured bacterium. Its description in RNAcentral is "partial 16S ribosomal RNA". It matches the Rfam family "Bacterial small subunit ribosomal RNA", at positions 29 to 523 of the family's 1533-position model. The record is from RNAcentral.
AGCGAACGCUGGCGGCAGGCCUAACACAUGCAAGUCGAGCGCCGUAGCAAUACGGAGCGGCAGACGGGAGAGUAACACGUGGGAACGUGCCCUUUGGUUCGGAACAACCCAGGGAAACUUGGGCUAAUACCGGAUAAGCCCUCACGGGGAAAGAUUCAUCGCCGAAGGAUCGGCCCGCGUCUGAUUAGCUAGUUGGUGGGGUAGUGGCUCACCAAGGCGACGAUCAGUAGCUGGUCUGAGAGGAUGAUCAGCCACACUGGGACUGAGACACGGCCCAGACUCCUACGGGAGGCAGCAGUGGGGAAUAUUGGACAAUGGGCGCAAGCCUGAUCCAGCCAUGCCGCGUGAGUGAUGAAGGCCCUAGGGUUGUAAAGCUCUUUUGUGCGGGAAGAUAAUGACUGUACCGCAAGAAUAAGCCCCGGCUAACUUCGUGCCAGCCGCCGCCGUAA